This 715-nucleotide long non-coding RNA is filed under the name Strongylocentrotus purpuratus (purple sea urchin). Its description in RNAcentral is "uncharacterized LOC115923993". The record is from RNAcentral. Lineage: Eukaryota; Metazoa; Echinodermata; Echinoidea; Camarodonta; Strongylocentrotidae.
GGCGCGCUCGCUCCAGAGCUUGCCGCGUGUUUUAAACUGACUGACGAGUUGACUGCUUGAUGACGUGACUUCGAGAUUUCAAAUAAUCUGUUAGACUGCGACACCGAGGCAACUAUGUAAAAGCGCAAAAGCAUCGCCAGGAAGGCAGAGGACACGUCAAACCUGGUAUCGGAAAAUGAUGCUGUGUAGAAGCGAAAGAGACGUCUUCCCCAGAGAUUUAGCAAAUCUUCUAGUGAUUCCGGAAUUGACGCUGAUCUUGAAUCGGUUAGGACCCAAGAAAACAACAUGUACGCGGAGGAACGACUAAGGCUGUGGCAGCAGAGAUACCAAUGCCGAAACUGAAUGCGAAGUCCAAGUCCACAUCACAUUUUUCAGUUCCAACCCACAACUCCAGCAAGGGCUCGGGCUUCGGAAAGCAAUUUUCAAGUGCAGGUACUGUGUACGCUGCAGAGGCUGGAGGAAGGGCAGCAGCAGCUGACGCAGUUGGUACAAAAACUGCUUUUGUCCAAAUCGGGAGCGGCGGUUGAUGUGGAAGACCUGAGGGAGGCGUUUACCAAACCAGUGAACACCAAAUUUUCAUUCAAGGUAGAUUAAGAUACCUUCAUUCAGGGGCAAUGCAAAAAUCCUAAAACUCAUAUUGAAACCAAAUUUGACCAUUUCAGCUAAUAAUGGAGAAACUUUAUCAGCGACAUAACAGUUUUGUUGGUGCAUCUUU